CCCUGUACUGGGGGACAACAGUUGAAAACGACUGCUAAUACCGCAUAAGCGCACAGCUUCGCAUGAAGCAGUGUGAAAAACUCCGGUGGUACAAGAUGGACCCGCGUCUGAUUAGCUGGUUGGUGAGGUAACGGCCCACCAAGGCGACGAUCAGUAGCCGGCCUGAGAGGGUGAACGGCCACAUUGGGACUGAGACACGGCCCAAACUCCUACGGGAGGCAGCAGUGGGGAAUAUUGCACAAUGGGGGAAACCCUGAUGCAGCAACGCCGCGUGAGUGAAGAAGUAUUUCGGUAUGUAAAGCUCUAUCAGCAGGAAAGAAAAUGACGGUACCUGACUAAGAAGCCCCGGCUAACUACGUGCCAGCAGCCGCGGUAAUACGUAGGGGGCAAGCGUUAUCCGGAUUUACUGGGUGUAAAGGGAGCGUAGACGGUUUUGCAAGUCUGAAGUGAAAGCCCGGGGCUUAACCCCGGGACUGCUUUGGAAACUGUAGAACUAGAGUGCAGGAGAGGUAAGUGGAAUUCCUAGUGUAGCGGUGAAAUGCGUAGAUAUUAGGAGGAACACCAGUGGCGAAGGCGGCUUACUGGACUGUAACUGACGUUGAGGCUCGAAAGCGUGGGGAGCAAACAGGAUUAGAUACCCUGGUAGUCCACGCCGUAAACGAUGAAAGGAGGUGUUGGUGGGUAUGACCCAUCGGUG
RNAcentral lists this ribosomal RNA (697 nucleotides) under uncultured bacterium. RNAcentral describes it as "bacterial SSU rRNA". It matches the Rfam family "Bacterial small subunit ribosomal RNA", at positions 129 to 845 of the family's 1533-position model. The record is from RNAcentral.